AGUGAACGCUGGCGGUAGGCCUAACACAUGCAAGUCGAACGGCAGCACAGGAGAGCUUGCUCUCUGGGUGGCGAGUGGCGGACGGGUGAGGAAUACAUCGGAAUCUACUUUUUCGUGGGGGAUAACGUAGGGAAACUUACGCUAAUACCGCAUACGACCUACGGGUGAAAGCAGGGGACAUUCGGGCCUUGCGCGAUUGAAUGAGCCGAUGUCGGAUUAGCUAGUUGGCGGGGUAAAGGCCCACCAAGGCGACGAUCCGUAGCUGGUCUGAGAGGAUGAUCAGCCACACUGGAACUGAGACACGGUCCAGACUCCUACGGGAGGCAGCAGUGGGGAAUAUUGGACAAUGGGCGCAAGCCUGAUCCAGCCAUACCGCGUGGGUGAAGAAGGCCCUCGGGUUGUAAAGCCCUUUUGUUGGGAAAGAAAUCCAGCUGGCUAAUACCCGGUUGGGAUGACGGUACCCAAAGAAUAAGCACCGGCUAACUUCGUGCCAGCCGCCGCUGUAA
Molecule: ribosomal RNA, 506 nt
Filed under: uncultured bacterium
Lineage: Bacteria
Description: partial 16S ribosomal RNA
Rfam family: Bacterial small subunit ribosomal RNA
Source: RNAcentral